UGGUGGAGUGAUUUGUCUGGUUAAUUCCGAUAACGAACGAGACCUUAUCCUGCUAAAUAGCUACAGUAAGCCUUGCUUGCUGCUUAGCUUCUUAGAGGGACUACUGACGUUUAGUCAGUGGAAGUUUGAGGCAAUAACA
This 139-nucleotide ribosomal RNA is filed under the name uncultured eukaryote. Its description in RNAcentral is "partial 18S ribosomal RNA". It matches the Rfam family "Eukaryotic small subunit ribosomal RNA", at positions 1299 to 1458 of the family's 1831-position model. The record is from RNAcentral.